RNAcentral lists this ribosomal RNA (253 nucleotides) under uncultured bacterium. Its description in RNAcentral is "partial 16S ribosomal RNA". It matches the Rfam family "Bacterial small subunit ribosomal RNA", at positions 524 to 776 of the family's 1533-position model. The record is from RNAcentral.
UACGGGGGGGGCAAGCGUUGUUCGGAAUUACUGGGCGUAAAGGGCUCGUAGGUGGCCAACUAAGUCAGACGUGAAAUCCCUCGGCUUAACCGGGGAACUGCGUCUGAUACUGGAUGGCUUGAGUUUGGGAGAGGGACGCGGAAUUCCAGGUGUAGCGGUGAAAUGCGUAGAUAUCUGAAGGAACAUCAGUGGCGAAAGCGACUUCCUGGACGAAUACUGACGCUCAUGUGCGAAAGCGUGGGGAGCAAACAGG